UCUACAGGCCGGGUUAUCGUCUUCCCGCUCGCGGGAGGAAGGAAAGUCUGGACAGCAUAGAGCAGUGCACCGGUGAACAGCCGGCUGCAGCCUUCGGGUUGUAAGAGAAAGUGCCACAGAAAAUAACUGUCUGCCGCAAGGCGGAUGAGGGUGAAAAUGUGAGGUAAGAGCUCACGGUACAGCAUGGUAACAUGCGGUACGGGUAAACCUUGCAUGCUGAAAUGCCACGUAUACUGUCGUUAAGGGCUGCUCGCCCGAACCGGUCCGUUCCGCGGAUCGUACGACAGAGGGUAGGCAGAUUGAUCCCGGUGAGUAAUUACCGGGACAGAUAAAUGAUAACCAUCCGCCUACGGCGGAUACAGAAUCCGGCUUACAGGCCUGUAGAUUUU
Molecule: RNase P RNA, 389 nt
Filed under: Terrimonas ferruginea
Lineage: Bacteria; Pseudomonadati; Bacteroidota; Chitinophagia; Chitinophagales; Chitinophagaceae
Also listed under: 2 other names
Description: RNase P RNA component class A
Rfam family: Bacterial RNase P class A
About the family: Ribonuclease P (RNase P) is a ubiquitous endoribonuclease, found in archaea, bacteria and eukarya as well as chloroplasts and mitochondria. Its best characterised activity is the generation of mature 5'-ends of tRNAs by cleaving the 5'-leader elements of precursor-tRNAs.
Source: RNAcentral